This 53-nucleotide non-coding RNA is filed under the name Clostridiales bacterium. RNAcentral's name for it is "Na+-I sequence". It matches the Rfam family "Na+ riboswitch aptamer (DUF1646)". From Rfam's summary of the family: Proteobacteria, NC10, Acidobacteria, Verrucomicrobia. Lineage: Bacteria; Bacillati; Bacillota; Clostridia; Eubacteriales. The record is from RNAcentral.
GGUUGGACGGGUGUAUAUCCGUUUUCAAGCAUUGGCUUUCGGGGCGGGAAGCU